Molecule: ribosomal RNA, 377 nt
Filed under: uncultured bacterium
Lineage: Bacteria
Description: bacterial SSU rRNA
Rfam family: Bacterial small subunit ribosomal RNA
Source: RNAcentral
UAAGACAGAGGUGCCGAGCGUUAGGCGGAAUCACUGGGCUUAAAGCGUGUGUAGGCGGGUUUCUAAGUAUCUUGUGAAAUCCCACGGCUCAACCGUGGAACUGCUGGAUAUACUGGGAAUCUUGAGCCACUUAGGGGCAACCGGAACAAAUGGUGGAGCGGUGAAAUGCGUAGAUAUCAUUUGGAACGCCAAUGGUGAAAACAGGUUGCUGGGAGUGUGCUGACGCUGAGACACGAAAGCCAGGGGAGCGAACGGGAUUAGAUACCCCGGUAGUCCUGGCCGUAAACGAUGUCGACUAGAUCGUGGUUGCUCUGACGUAAUCACGGUCGAAGCAAAAGUGCUAAGUCGACCGCCUGGGAAGUACGGUCGCAAGGCUA